Molecule: long non-coding RNA, 577 nt
Filed under: Homo sapiens (human)
Lineage: Eukaryota; Metazoa; Chordata; Mammalia; Primates; Hominidae
Description: non-protein coding lnc-CYB5RL-4:2
Source: RNAcentral
CCUUUUCCUGCCUGGAUUCCCCAGGAAUUCCUCUGCGUUGCUGCCUUGUCCAGCCUGGGAGAAGCGACAAGAGCUGACCAUUUGAAGUGCAGCAGCUGCCCCGAGCCCCGUGCUUGGCAACAUUCCCCCCAACGAUGGGAUGCCGGGAGGCCCCAUCCCGCCAGGUUUCUUUCAGGGUCCUCCGGGGUCACAGCCCUCGCCGCACGCACAGCCUCCACCUCACAAUCCUAGCAGCAUGAUGGGACCCCACAGUCAGCCUUUUAUGUCACCGCGAUACGCAGGCGGCCCCAGGCCCCCGAUCAGAAUGGGAAACCAGGGGACAAAUUUGGACAAGAGGAAUUAGAGACCCAGCUUUUUGAGCAAAAGAAGGGAUCCCUGGAUACAUCACAGAUGAGGAAACAAAAGCCUCCGGGAGGAGUUCCUGGGACACAGCCAUUGCUGCCCAAUUCUAUGGAUCCCACACGACAACAAGGCCACCCCAACAUGGGAGGAUCAAUGCAGAGAAUGAACCCUCCCCGAGGCAUGGGGCCCAUGGGUCCCGGCCCACAGAAUUACGGCAGCGGCAUGAGACCACCAC